GACGAACGCUGGCGGCGUGCUUAACACAUGCAAGUCGAACGGAAAGGCCUGCUUUCCCUUGUGGAUUGCGGGUACUCGAGUGGCGAACGGGUGAGUAACACGUGAGUGAUCUGCCCCCAACUUGGGUAUAAGCCUGGGAAACUGGGUCUAAUUCCCGAUAGGACUGCAGGGUGGUGCCUGUGGUGGAAAACGAUUUUCCAGUGGUUGGGGAUGAGCUCGCGGCCUAUCAGCUUGUUGGUGGGGUAAUGGCCUACCAAGGCGGCGACGGGUAGCCGGUCUGAGAGGGUGGACGGCCACAUUGGGACUGAGAUACGGCCCAGACUCCUACGGGAGGCAGCAGUGGGGAAUAUUGCACAAUGGGCGGAAGCCUGAUGCAGCGACGCCGCGUGGGGGAUGACGGCCUUCGGGUUGUAAACUCCUUUCGACCGCGAGGAAGCCACCUGGUUGGAAGGGUGGUGACGGUAGUGGUAGAAGAAGCACCGGCUAACUACGUG
This 494-nucleotide ribosomal RNA is filed under the name uncultured bacterium. RNAcentral describes it as "partial 16S ribosomal RNA". It matches the Rfam family "Bacterial small subunit ribosomal RNA", at positions 28 to 507 of the family's 1533-position model. The record is from RNAcentral.